UGGGGAAUAUUGGACAAUGGGGGCAACCCUGAUCCAGCGAUGCCGCGUGGGUGAAGAAGGCCUUCGGGUUGUAAAGCCCUUUAGGUUGGGAAGAAGUGCAGUAGUUUAAGAGAUGACUGCAUUGACGGUACUAACAGAAUAAGCACCGGCAAACUCUGUG
Molecule: ribosomal RNA, 160 nt
Filed under: uncultured soil bacterium
Lineage: Bacteria
Description: partial 16S ribosomal RNA
Rfam family: Bacterial small subunit ribosomal RNA
Source: RNAcentral